CUACGGGGGGCUGCAGUGGGGAAUAUUGCACAAUGGGCGCAAGCCUGAUACAGCCAUGCCGCGUGUAUGAAGAAGGCCUUCGGGUUGUAAAGUACUUUCAGCGGGGAGGAAGGGAGUAAAGUUAAUACCUUUGCUCAUUGACGUUACCCGCAGAAGAAGCACCGGCUAACUCCGUGCACAGCAGCCGCGGUAAUACGGAGGGUGCAAGCGUUAAUCGGAAUUACUGGGCGUAAAGCGCACGCAGGCGGUUUGUUAAGUCAGAUGUGAAAUCCCCGGGCUCAACCUGGGAACGGCAUCUGAUACUGGCAAGCUGGAGUCUCGUAGAGGGGGGUAGAAUUCCAGGUGUAGCGGUGAAAUGCGUAGAGAUCUGGAGGAAUACCGGUGGCGAAGGCGGCCCCCUGGACGAAGACUGACGCUCAGGUGCGAAAGCGUGGGGAGCAAACAGGAUUAGAUACCCCGGUAGUC
Molecule: ribosomal RNA, 465 nt
Filed under: uncultured bacterium
Lineage: Bacteria
Description: partial 16S ribosomal RNA
Rfam family: Bacterial small subunit ribosomal RNA
Source: RNAcentral